AUGGCCAUCGGAGAGUACGUGUCCGUCUGCUCCCAGCGCGACGUGGAGAUCGCGGAGCUGGACCAGGCCGGAAAGCGUGGCGGCGACGAGGAGAAGGCACUGCCAAGCCCGGCACAGGCCGCCGCGGCCUCAGCGCUGGCUUUCUCCGUCGGGGCGCUCCUACCGCUGCUGGCCGCCGGGUUCAUCGUGGGCUACAACCUGCGGGUCGCCGUGGUGGUCGUCGUGGCGACGUUGGCGCUGGCCGCGUUCGGAUGCGUGGGCGCCGUGCUGGGGCGGGCCCCCGUGGCGAGGUCGUGCGCGCGGGUGGUGGUGGGCGGACUGGCCGCCAUGGCCGUCACCUUUGGGUUCAUGAGGCUCUUCCGAGCCAGCGGCGUAUGA
Molecule: ribosomal RNA, 378 nt
Filed under: Triticum aestivum (bread wheat)
Lineage: Eukaryota; Viridiplantae; Streptophyta; Magnoliopsida; Poales; Poaceae
Description: partial small subunit ribosomal RNA
Source: RNAcentral